AGUGCGAUCGGUGGAUGCCUAGGCACCAAGAGCCGAUGAAGGACGUUGUGACCUGCGAUAAGCCCCGGGGAGCUGGUGGACGAGCUUUGAUCCGGGGAUUUCCGAAUGGGGAAACCUCGAAGGUGACCGGUCGUGAGGCCGGCGACUGCCCCUUGAAUGUAUAGGGGGGUGUGAGGGAACGUGGGGAAGUGAAACAUCUCAGUACCCACAGGAGAAGAAGACAACAGUGAUUCCGUGAGUAGUGGCGAGCGAAAGCGGAGGAGGCCAAACCGUGCGUGUGUGGACAGCUGGCAGGCGUUGCACGUGCGGGGUUGUGGGAGUGUUCUUGCCCGAGCUGUCAGGAGGGCGGGGAGUGACAAAGCGGUGUUGAAGUGGAAGCGGCUGGGAAGCCGUACCGGAGUGGGUGACAGUCCCGUACACGUAUGACAUCGUCUUCCUUGAGCACGUCCCAAGUAGCGCGGGACCCCUGAAAUUCCGCGUGAAUCCGGCGGGACCACCCGUCAAGCCUAAAUACUCCUUGGUGACCGAUAGCGGACCAGUACCGUGAGGGAAAGGUGAAAAGUACCCCGGGAGGGGAGUGAAAUAGUACCUGAAACCGGUCGCAUACAAUCCGUCGGAGCCUUCCUCGUGGGGGUGACGGCGUGCCUUUUGAAGAAUGAGCCUGCGAGUUAGUGGUGUGUGGCGAGGUUAACCUGUGUGGGGUAGCCGUAGCGAAAGCGAGUCCGAACAGGGCGGUCCAGUCGCAUGCUCUAGACCCGAAGCGGUGUGAUCUACCCAUGGCCAGGGUGAAGCGACGGUAAGACGUCGUGGAGGCCCGAACCCACCAGGGUUGCAAACCUGGGGGAUGAGCUGUGGGUAGGGGUGAAAGGCCAAUCAAACUCUGUGAUAGCUGGUUCUCCCCGAAAUGCAUUUAGGUGCAGCGUUGCAUGUUUCUUGCCGGAGGUAGAGCGACUGGAUGGCUGAUGGGCCCGCGAGGGUUACUGACGUUAGCUAAACUCCGAAUGCCGGUAAGUGAGAGUGUAGCAGUGAGACAGUGGGGGAUAAGCUUCAUUGUCGAGAGGGAAACAGCCCAGACCAUCAACUAAGGCCCCUAAGCGUGUGCUAAGUGGGAAAGGAUGUGGAGUUGCUGAGACAACCAGGAGGUUGGCUUAGAAGCAGCCAUCCUUGAAAGAGUGCGUAAUAGCUCACUGGUCAAGUGAUUCUGCGCCGAUAAUGUAGCGGGGCUCAAGUACACCGCCGAAGUUGUGGCAAUGAUCUUUUUGGAUUGUUGGGUAGGGGAGCGUCGUGUAGCCGGUGAAGCUGCGGUGUAAACCAGUGGUGGAGGCUAUGCGAGUGAGAAUGCAGGCAUGAGUAGCGAAAGAUGAGUGAGAAACUCAUCCGCCGGAUGAUCAAGGGUUCCAGGGUCAAGUUAAUCUGCCCUGGGUUAGUCGGGGCCUAAGGCGAGGCCGACAGGCGUAGUCGAUGGAUAACGGGUUGAUAUUCCCGUACCGGUGAAAAACCGCCCAUACUGAUAUUGUGAUGCUAACCAUGCGAAGCAUGAUGUGCAGGCUUUUGUUUGUGUGUUGUGUGGGUUGUGGGACCCGAUCUUUGGAGGUAAACGUGUUAACAGGUGUGACGCAGGAAGGUAGCCAAGCCACGCGAUGGUUGUCGUGGUCUAAGCGUGUAGGGUUGUCGGUUGUUAAAUGCGCCGGCUGUGUGCCUGAGACGUGAUGGGACCCCGUUUUUGGGGGAUUUGGUGAUCCUAUGCUGCCGAGAAAAGCAUCGGCGUGAGGUUUUAGCCGCCCGUACCCUAAACCGACACAGGUGAUCAGGUAGAGAAUACUAAGGCGAUCGAGAGAAUCAUGGUUAAGGAACUCGGCAAAAUGCCCCCGUAACUUCGGGAGAAGGGGGGCCCUGAGCGUGAUCUGCCCGUGCGGUGGGGAGCGUGUAGGGGUCGCAGAGACCAGGGGGAAGCGACUGUUUAUCAAAAACACAGGUCCGUGCGAAGUCGUAAGACGAUGUAUACGGACUGACUCCUGCCCGGUGCUGGAAGGUUAAGAGGAUUGGUUAGCCUUUGUGGCGAAGCUGAGAAUUUAAGCCCCAGUAAACGGCGGUGGUAACUAUAACCAUCCUAAGGUAGCGAAAUUCCUUGUCGGGUAAGUUCCGACCUGCACGAAUGGAGUAACGACUUCCCUACUGUCUCAACCAUGAACUCGGUGAAAUUGCAGUACGAGUAAAGAUGCUCGUUUCGCGCAGCAGGACGGAAAGACCCCGUGACCUUUACUAUAGUUUGGUAUUGGUGUUUGGGUUGGCUUGUGUAGGAUAGGUGGGAGACUGUGAAGCCGCUACGCUAGUGGUGGUGGAGUCGUUGUUGAAAUACCACUCUGGUCAAUCUGAGCGUCUAACUUCGGGCCAUGAUCUGGUUCAGGGACAGUGCCUGAUGGGUAGUUUAACUGGGGCGGUUGCCUCCUAAAGUGUAACGGAGGCGCCCAAAGGUUCCCUCAGCCUGGUUGGCAAUCAGGUGUUGAGUGUAAGUGCACAAGGGAGCUUGACUGUGAGACUGGCAGGUCGAGCAGGGACGAAAGUCGGGACUAGUGAUCCGGCGGUACGUUGUGGAACGGCCGUCGCUCAACGGAUAAAAGGUACCUCGGGGAUAACAGGCUGAUCUUGCCCAAGAGUCCAUAUCGACGGCAUGGUUUGGCACCUCGAUGUCGGCUCGUCGCAUCCUGGGGCUGGAGUCGGUCCCAAGGGUUGGGCUGUUCGCCCAUUAAAGCGGUACGCGAGCUGGGUUCAGAACGUCGUGAGACAGUUCGGUCCCUAUCCGCUGCGCGCGUUGGAAAUUUGAGAAAGGCUGUCCUUAGUACGAGAGGACCGGGACGGACGAACCUCUGGUAUGUCAGUUGUACCGCCAGGUGCAUGGCUGAUUGGCUACGUUCGGGAGGGAUAACCGCUGAAAGCAUCUAAGCGGGAAGCUUGUUUCGUGAUGAGUUCUCCUGGCACCCUUUGG
Molecule: ribosomal RNA, 2986 nt
Filed under: human oral metagenome
Description: bacterial LSU rRNA
Rfam family: Bacterial large subunit ribosomal RNA
Source: RNAcentral